Molecule: non-coding RNA, 319 nt
Organism: Nelumbo nucifera (sacred lotus)
Lineage: Eukaryota; Viridiplantae; Streptophyta; Magnoliopsida; Proteales; Nelumbonaceae
Source: RefSeq, a predicted model, not a curated record
GGUUAGACAGGUUGGCCGAGGGGGUGUGGUAUCUAAAAGACUUUUCAGGGGUCCUUAGGUUGUAGGGACUGCAUUGCUUGGACAAAGUGACGAAUACAAUCAGGCGGCCAAGAAAAGUGAUAAUGAUUUGGAUUUUGAGAGAGGGCCAAUUUACAGAAAACAAUGAAAAAAUCUGUCUUAGCGGCUUCCACGGGACAGAAAAAAAAAAAGAUUAUAUGUUACUCUGGAAAUGCUACCGUGUACAGACUUACUAUAUAAUAUAUUGUUCAAAGGAAAAACAGAGGCACAACAUAUAUGAGCAAAUAUAAUGACAAAAAAA